Molecule: small RNA, 27 nt
Filed under: Bombyx mori (domestic silkworm)
Lineage: Eukaryota; Metazoa; Arthropoda; Insecta; Lepidoptera; Bombycidae
Description: ovarian small RNA-15735
Source: RNAcentral
GAGAUUCCCACUGUCCCUAUCUACGAU